GACGAACGCUGGCGGCGUGCCUAACACAUGCAAGUCGCACGGACCGCAAGGUCAGUGGCGAACGGGUGCGUAACACGUGAAGAAUCUGUCCAACGGUGGGGAUGAGCGGCCCGACAGGCCGGGUAGUACCGCGUACGCUCGUCUGGUGGCAUCAUCGGACGAGGAAAGCAGCAAUGCGCCAGAGUGAGAUCUCGCGGCCUAUCAGCUAGUUGGUGAGGUAAUGGCUCACCAAGGCGACGACGGGUAGCUGGUCUGAGAGGAUGAUCAGCCACAUUGGGACUGAGACACGGCCCAGACUCCUACGGGAGGCAGCAGUGGGGAAUAUUGCGCAAUGGGCGAAAGCCUGACGCAGCGACGCCGCGUGCGGGAUGAAGGCCUCGGGUUGUAAACCGCUGUCGGGAGGGACGAAGCUCUGACGGUACCUCCAAAGGAAGCACCGGCUAACUCUGUGCCAGCAGCCGCGGUAAUACAGAGGGUGCAAGCGUUGUCCGGAAUUACUGGGCGUAAAGGGCGCGUAGGCGGCUCGAUAAGUAGGGGUGAAUUCCGACGGCUCAACCGCGGGGCUGCCUUCUAGACUGUCGGGCUUGAGCAUGGUAGAGGCAGAUGGGAUUCCCGGUGUAGCGGUGGAAUGCGUAGAGAUC
RNAcentral lists this ribosomal RNA (641 nucleotides) under uncultured bacterium. RNAcentral describes it as "bacterial SSU rRNA". It matches the Rfam family "Bacterial small subunit ribosomal RNA", at positions 28 to 698 of the family's 1533-position model. The record is from RNAcentral.